GUAGGUGGCAAGCGUUGUCCGGAAUUAUUGGGCGUAAAGCGCGCGCAGGCGGUUUUUUAAGUCUGAUGUGAAAGCCCACGGCUCAACCGUGGAGGGUCAUUGGAAACUGGAGAACUUGAGUACAGAAGAGGAAAGCGGAAUUCCACGUGUAGCGGUGAAAUGCGUAGAGAUGUGGAGGAACACCAGUGGCGAAGGCGGCUUUCUGGUCUGUAACUGACGCUGAGGCGCGAAAGCGUGGGGAGCAAACAGGAUUAGAUACCCUGGUAGUCCACGCCGUAAACGAUGAGUGCUAAGUGUUAGGGGGGUUUCCGCCCCCCUUAGUGCUGCAGCUAACGCAUUAAGCACUCCGCCUGGGAGUACGGCCGCAAGGCUG
RNAcentral lists this ribosomal RNA (373 nucleotides) under uncultured organism. RNAcentral describes it as "partial 16S ribosomal RNA". It matches the Rfam family "Bacterial small subunit ribosomal RNA", at positions 527 to 896 of the family's 1533-position model. The record is from RNAcentral.